Molecule: ribosomal RNA, 460 nt
Filed under: uncultured bacterium
Lineage: Bacteria
Description: partial 16S ribosomal RNA
Rfam family: Bacterial small subunit ribosomal RNA
Source: RNAcentral
CCUACGGGGGGCAGCAGUGAGGAAUAUUGGUCAAUGGGCGGAAGCCUGAACCAGCCAAGUCGCGUGAGGGAAUAAGGCCCUACGGGUCGUAAACCUCUUUUGCCGGGGAGCAAGCGCGGGGACGUGUCCCGGCCCGGAUAGUACCCGCAGACAAAGCCUCGGCUAACUCCUUGCCAGCAGCCGCGGUAAUAGGGAGGAGGCGAGCGUUAUCGGGAUUUAUUGGGUUUAAGGGGUGCGUAGGCGGGCCGGAAAGUCAGCGGUAAAAGCCCGGGGCUCAACCCCGGCGAGGCGUUGAAACUGUCGGACUAGAGAGGGCGAGAAGUACGCGGAAUGCGCGGUGUAGCGGUGAAAUGCAUAGAUAUCGCGCAGAACUCCGAUUGCGAAGGCAGCGUACCGGCGCCGGACUGACGCUGAGGCACGAAAGCGUGGGUAUCGAACAGGAUUAGAUACCCGAGUAGUC